RNAcentral lists this long non-coding RNA (2361 nucleotides) under Malus domestica (apple). Its description in RNAcentral is "long non-coding RNA (MDOM_LNC015747)". The record is from RNAcentral. Lineage: Eukaryota; Viridiplantae; Streptophyta; Magnoliopsida; Rosales; Rosaceae.
UUCCCCUGGUGGAAGCUCGUGGUGGUGGUGCCGCUCCACUUAUUGUCGCAUUUAACCUCGUGGAUCGCCGUGGUCCCAUUCCUUGGAUAUUGGAAUUUUCACUCGUGGAAUUUUCUAAAUUUCUAGCCAUUGUAUUCUUCUUUUAUGUUUUAUCAAAGAAUUUUUGUAAAUAAAAAAUUCUAAUAAUAAGAACGUAUGAAAAAAUACAACUAGACUAGAAAAUAGAGAAAAACCUUUUUUAUGCGAGAGUCUUCUACGAGUGUGGAUUUCUUCUCUCAAUGAAAGCACCAAUUUGUGGAUGCAAAUUUCUUCCUCCUUGAUCUUGGACAAAAUUGCACCUACAAAACAAUUAACACCUUAGGUCAAGGCCAAGAGCCUCAUGCGCCCACGAUGAAUGGGGGGAGCUUUGGCCGAAGAACCUCCGAUGCCAAAGUUAGAAUUUAGAGAGAAAAAAUGUUUGAGAAUUCUAGAGAACUUUAGCAAGAGUUGGAAGUGUGUUUUGGAGAAAAUAUGAGCCUUUUUAUAGGAUAAUGGGAAUAAUUGACUAGUUAAUUUAGCAAAUAGAAUUAUUGCCAAAUUAACUAGCUAAUUAAUAUGAUAAAAUAGGUAAAUAUGAUGAGAUCAACAAGGGUGGCCGGCCCUUUGGGAUUUAUGGGUAUAUUAUGUGGUUAAUUGGGUGACUUAAUUGACAUUUAAUGGAUUAAUUAGGUAAUUAAUCCAUUAAUUAGCCAAUUAACAUAUUUUUGGAAUGAAUAUUUUGAAGGUUAUGUAAUGAUAGCUAAUUGAUUAGCUAAAAGAGGGGGAAAAAAGAGGUAAAAAAUAUAUGGAAUGAAAUAGGUUUUGAACUGUUAUCUAUUUUAGGCAUUUCUGACUUGGUUGUGGAUGAUUGUCUGUUACUCGCGAGUAGGAAUCCUGAUACACCUCAAGAGUAUUUUUGUCUUCUUUAUCCGAAAAUCCACGUGUCGCAUUGUGAUUAUUUUUUACUCCACAAUAUGCAUGUCAUCAACCCAAUUGUCUACAUAACUUACGUAUUACUUGCUUUCUUAAGAGAUGUAAAGAAAGAAAAUGAAACUCGUUAUUGGUAAAUUUUACCCUACUUUUACAUGUAACAUGUUUCCUCGUGAACCCUUUCUUUCGAGACCAAAAUCGAUCCUCAUCAAGUUGCAAUUUAAUUCUAAAUGCAAAAUUUUCAAAGGAUAACGUAAACUAAUAAGAUUAGAUGCUAAAACUGUUCUAGUCUAGAUGCCCAUGCAUGAUUAAUGUAAAUGGGACCCCUUUAAUUGCUUUGCAUGUCACAACAGCAGAGAAAUCAAGGAAGGGUUUUUGGGGUUAAACUAAAGCGACAAAUAGUUGAUCGAAAAAGAAACUGAAGUGACAAAAAAAUGUAUACUAACCUCAUGUUCUAGGAUAUCUAUUUGGGUUUGGAGUACGUUGGACUUAAUAUUAAGUUAGCGGAUGCCAUUAAAACCACUCGUUAGCCUUUAGAGUAAUUUACGUCUAACAAGUUGUUCUACUAUCUUUUUGUAUGUGACUAGAGAUACAGAGAAGGCUAGUACAGUGACGGGUUCACGAUGAGAUCAAUGUGACCAGUUGAUUCUUGAAAAAUGUUUUGGGAAUCUAGUGAACCCUUGAUCAUUCGGACGUUAACCACUUCAUGCACAUAAGAUAUUUGACAAAACGCAUUUGUAAGACUCAACACUGCUUGGCAUCACCUUUGUGUGCAUUGCUGUUAGCAUCUAUCGACAAACUUUCUUGUCGUUUGUCGACCUCUAUUUACAGACUCGUACGAAAGUUGUCUGCACAUGUCAAUAGCCGCGCAACAUGGCUCAACAUAUAACUAGCUCACCAACUAUUCGAAGAAAUGCCAUAAUAUCAAUUUAUAUGUUGUUUCCGCUACAAAAUUUUGCGUCCACAUACUAUUUUCUCACUGACUCCUCAAGAAUUUUAUUCUAAAUUUGCCACUAGACCAAGAAACACAAUAUUGAUACAUUUUUGCUCUUUUUACAUGUAACGAGUCUCCUAUUCUCUUUCUUAAGACCAGAAUCCUCAUGGACCUCAUCAAGUUACAAUCCCAUUCAUGAAAUAAGUUCUAAGGGCAAGAUUAACCAAGAUUGAAGUCUAAGAGCCUAAAAUUGCUCUGAAGUGCGGGUGCCCAUGCAUGAAUAAUGUAAAAUGGGACCCUUGCAAUUGCAAUUUGCAUUGCAUGUCACAACACAGCACAGAAAUCAAGGAAGGGUAUUUCGGGAGGUUUCAUAGGGAUUACCAUACACACACACUACCGGAAAGAAGGAAACACGCAGAGAUUGGCUGUCAUAUGGAAAAUCUCUCAGCUUUUGGGGUUAGCUAGAUUCCAUAGGGUGC